UUCCGGUUGAUCCUGCCGGACCUGACUGCUAUCGGAUGGAGAUUAAGCCAUGCAAGUCGCCGUAGCAAUACGUGGCGGACGGCUCAGUAACACGUAGCUAACCUACCCUGUAGACGCGCAUAACCCCGGGAAACUGGGACUAAUUCGCGAUAGGCCAUAAUUCCUGGAAUGGAUCUUGGCCUAAAGGGCUGAUUGCUACAGGAUGGGGCUGCGGCCGAUCAGGUUGUUGGUGGGGUAAUGGCCCACCAAGCCUAUAACCGGUGCGGGCAUUGAGAGAUGGGGCCCGGAGAUGGACACUGAGAAAAGGGUCCAGGUCCUACGGGGCGCAGCAGGCGCGAAAACUUCGCAAUGGGCGAAAGCCCGAUGAGGUUAUUCCGAGUGCCUUCCGCUGAGGGAGGCUUUUCUCAAGUCUAAAUAGCGUGGGGAAUAAGGGGAGGGCAAGUCUGGUGUCAGCCGCCGCGGUAAUACCAGCUCCCCGAGUGGUCAGGACGAUUAUUGGGCCUAAAGCAUCCGUAGCCUGCUCAGUAGGUCUCAUGUUAAAUCCACCGGCUCAACCGUUGGUCUGCAUGGGAUACCGCUGGGCUAGGAGGCGGGAGAGGCGGACGGUAUUCCUUGGGUAGGGGUAAAAUCCUUUGAUCCAGGGAGGACCACCAGUGGCGAAGGCGGUCCGCCAGAACGCGCUCGACGGUGAGGGAUGAAAGCUGGGGGAGCGAACCGGAUUAGAUACCCGGGUAGUCCCAGCCGUAAACGAUGCGAGCUAGGUAAUGGGAUGGCUACGUGCCAUCCCAGUGCCGCAGGGAAGCCGUUAAGCUCGCCGCCUGGGAAGUACGGUCGCAAGACUGAAACUUAAAGGAAUUGGCGGGGGAGCACCACAAGGGGUGAAGCCUGCGGUUCAAUUGGAUUCAACGCCGGA
Molecule: ribosomal RNA, 913 nt
Filed under: uncultured archaeon
Lineage: Archaea
Description: bacterial SSU rRNA
Rfam family: Archaeal small subunit ribosomal RNA
Source: RNAcentral